Molecule: ribosomal RNA, 261 nt
Filed under: uncultured archaeon
Lineage: Archaea
Description: partial 16S ribosomal RNA
Rfam family: Archaeal small subunit ribosomal RNA
Source: RNAcentral
AGGGUGUAAACGCUGCAGACUUGGUGUUGGGAACCCUUCGGGGGUGCUCAGUGCCGGAGAGAAGUUGUUAAGUCUGCUACUUGGGGAGUACGUCCGCAAGGAUGAAACUUAAAGGAAUUGGCGGGGGAGCACCGCAACGGGAGGAGCGUGCGGUUUAAUUGGAUUCAACGCCGAAAAACUCACCAGCAGCGACUGUUACAUGAAAGUCAGGCUGAUGACCUUACUAGAUUUUCAGAGAGGAGGUGCAUGGCGUCAGUGACU